AUGAAAUACUUCAAUUAUAUUAGCCUUACCCUUUUGCUCUUCUUGACUGGUGUUUCUGCCACUGUUACUAUGACCCAGCCUCCAGAAGCAUUGGUACUUCCAGGAAGAUCCAUUACUCUGACUUGUACAGUGUCAGGAUAUAAUAUCAACGACCACCAUCUGAGCUGGAUUCGUCAAUAUAAUGGCGAAUGCCUUGUUUUUAUCACAUCCUUCAGGUCUGGAUAUACCACGUACACUGCUAAUGAAUUUAAGGGCCGUGUUACCCCUUCCACCGACGGUUCGACAGCACAACUAAGGAUAGAUGCACUAAAAGUAGAAGAUUCUGCCACCUACUACUGCUCAAGUAGCACAAUGACUGAAUUUGGAAGUGUCACUGCCCAAAAUCUUGUAGAAGGACCCAACAUAUCUUCUUGA
This is a non-coding RNA of Thamnophis elegans (Western terrestrial garter snake), 414 nucleotides long. Lineage: Eukaryota; Metazoa; Chordata; Lepidosauria; Squamata; Natricidae. The record is from the annotation of a RefSeq genome assembly.